GAUGAACGCUGGCGGCGUGCCUAAUACAUGCAAGUCGAGCGGACAGACGAUGAUCUUGCGCGGCUUACGUGAGGGGCGGGCGUGUGAGUCACACGAGUAUACCCUCCCUAAAAGAGUGAGAUACCUACGGGAAAGCGGAUCUAACACCCGAGAAGAUAUUGAACCUCGGGGUUCGUUGGUCAGAGACGGUUUUGCUGGCACUAAUCGGGGUAUCCUGGCCGUAUGGGCUAGUGGGUAGGGUAACGGCCUACCAAGGCAAGGAUGCGUAGCCGACCUGAGAGGGUGAUAGGCCACAUUGGAACUGAGACACGGUCCAGACUCCUACGGGAGGCAGCAGUCGGGAAUCUUAGGCAAUGGGCGAAAGCCUGACGCAGCAACGCCGCGCGUGUGAUGAAGGUCUUCGGAUCGUAAAACCCUCUUACUAGGGAAGAACCACUGUGUCAUUAAACAUGGCGGUAUUGACGGUACCUAAUAAGAAAGCACCGGCUAACUACGUG
This 497-nucleotide ribosomal RNA is filed under the name uncultured bacterium. RNAcentral describes it as "partial 16S ribosomal RNA". It matches the Rfam family "Bacterial small subunit ribosomal RNA", at positions 28 to 507 of the family's 1533-position model. The record is from RNAcentral.